This is a long non-coding RNA of Equus asinus (donkey), 1959 nucleotides long. The record is from Ensembl. NCBI's taxonomy places the organism in Eukaryota, Metazoa, Chordata, Mammalia, Perissodactyla, Equidae.
GGGCUAUUUUGGUGACAACUUCCCGUGUGUUCACUGGGUGGCCCAACGCUGUCCAUCUCCCCCGGAGCUCAGAGCCAGAGGAAAUGGGUGUGAGUGGAGCCCGAACUUACUCACAACGCUGAACUUCCUGCCUGUAAGUAUUCUUAGACACUAGCAUGAGUUUCUAAAACAGAUUAGGUAUUGUCCUUGGAGCUCUUCAGCACGUUAAUUCCUAAGGGCUUUAAGAGUUUAGGUGUGGCCCAGAGCUGAGGGUGUGGACAAAACACGAUCCCAAGAUUCCUUCCAACCCCAGAUUCUGUUUCCAUCGCCCCAUCUAUUAUGGCCCCGAUGAUUUUUGAUGUCUUCUUUUGCCUGAGGUUAAACCGUAACCGUCCGAUGACCAGGAAAAAGUGCUUUGAGCAUAGUGUCCUGGGAGACCAGUGAGCCUCCCCAGAGCAUGAGGAGGAGGAAAGAUUAGCUUAUUGGUUUGUUUUCCCAGAAGGAAUGCUUAAAUUUAGGAAGGGUUGUUUACUCGUCAGACAAGUUCAUGACGACAAUGUUAGAAGUUUAAAACAGGGAGAAAAAUUCACUGUGAUCUUGUUACUCCCAACUGGCCGAGUGACCACCUUCUCUUUCCAUUCACCGGCCUGAGAUUUCCCCAGGACGUCGUGAAUGUUUAACCUGGCAUCCAGCCUCACCCACAGAGGAGUCUUACCUUAUGGCGACUGGGCCUUACUGAAAUUCCCUUGGCUAUUUGUGGACUUUUACUCUUCUUUAUAAGUUUUUAGAAUUAAUCUUUCCACUUGAAAAAUCAUCUUGAAUUCAAGUUCCGGGGAUCUAAGGUACGGCAGACACAUGCUGUAUGUCCUUUACCUGUGAAGGAGCUCAGAGCGUGUCACCCCAAAAUAUGCCGCUUAGGCACAUUGAUUAUUUUAAGUUAAAGGCACUUGAGAAAGAGCAGGUGCAAGAAGGGCACUCUGACCCUCCUUUUCCUCCUGAAAGCAGGAGGUAAAACUCCAGUGUGAAAGGAGACAAUGAUGUGCAGUGGAGAAGACGGAAAGGAGAGAGUAUGAAGGAGGUGAUGUGGGGAACCCAAACCUUGAAACUGGGACAGGACUUCAACAAAGGAGAUGUGGAGAACUUCCUGGGAGGAGAAAGCUCAGAAUAUCUAUACAUAGGAUGGCAACGUGCCUACCUAGAGUUUCCCCGCUUGUUGGCAGAUGCAGUCACAUGACACAGUCCUGCUCAGUGAGAUAGACUUUGUCCUCGAAUUCCAUGAGUGGGAGCACCCAAUCAGAACUGCCUGUAUCUGGAUGAUGUCUGUCAUUUAUCUACCUCCCAGACUUGUUGGGAUCAUCAGGUGAGGUGACGGACAUGAAAAUGCUUUGUCAACAGGAAUGUGCCAUAAAGAUACAAGUUUUACCUCCUAAAUUCCAUCCCUAAGAAAAUAUAGAUUAGUUUGGUUUGCUCUUGAACUUGAUAUAAAUGGAAUUACCUAUGGUUUUGGCAUUGUGACCUGCAGCUGCUAUCCACGUCCUUGUCCAUGUCUCCUGGUGAAUAUGUGCUCCCUGGGGCUGACGUUCUAGCCCUGGGAGCUGACCUUACUUUGUGCUAAUGAGAUUUCUACCCAUCUGUGACCAUAAAGGGAAAGCUGAUAAAGACCCUGGAGUUUGGGAAUCUGAAGCGGUGGAUCUUAUUGUCAUGGAUUGGUUCCUAUUCAUGACAAAUUCAUAUUGCAAAGGACCGAAAACCCAGCAGUUUUCUUAAACGUCAGAAUAAACCUGCUGUUAUUUUAAAAGCAUUAAAAAUUCUUUUAAACGGCAAAAAUCACUCUUAAAAGUCUUUUUAUUUCAAAUUAAUAGCUUCUAAAUGUGAAGGUCUCUGCUUUGUGACUAACAAAAACGUUUGCCAAUAUUCCAAAUUAGAUUAUUUUGUUUUUAGCAAGAAUCAGACUUUUUUUUUGAGCCAGAGGAGACUUUA